RNAcentral lists this ribosomal RNA (386 nucleotides) under uncultured bacterium. RNAcentral describes it as "bacterial SSU rRNA". It matches the Rfam family "Bacterial small subunit ribosomal RNA", at positions 370 to 772 of the family's 1533-position model. The record is from RNAcentral.
AAUGGGCGAAAGCCUGACACAGCGACGCCGCGUGCGCGAUGAAGGCCUUCGGGUUGUAAAGCGCAAUAGACAGGGACGAAGAAAGUGACGGUACCUGUUGAAAGCACCGGCUAACUACGUGCCAGCAGCCGCGGUAAUACGCAUGGUGCAAGCGUUGUUCGGAAUCACUGGGCGUAAAGAGCGCGCAGGCGGAUUGAUAAGUCAGGUGUGAAAUCUUCGGGCUCAACCCGAAGCCUGCAUUUGAAACUAUUAAUCUCGAGUCUUGGAGAGGCAGGCAGAAUUCCUGGUGUAGCGGUGAAAUGCGUAGAUAUCAGGAGGAAUACCGAUGGCGAAGGCAGCCUGCUGGACAAUGACUGACGCUGAGGCGCGAAAGCGUGGGGAGCAAA